UUCUGAUUGCUUUAUAAUCAGUAAGACCUGCUCAAUGAACUUUUAAUAGCCGCGAUUUACGUGCUAAGGUAGCAUAAUCAAUUGCCUUUUAAUUGAAGGCUGGAAUGAAAGGUUCUACAUAUAAAAUACUUUAUUAAAAUUAUUUCUUAAAACUAAUCUAUAAAUAAAAAAGUUUAUAUAUAUAAGAAGGACGACAAGACCCUGUCGAGCUUUACUUUAGUUUCACUGGGGAGGUGAAGAAACUAAAUCUUCCUUUUUCCUAAAAAAAGAAAAUUUAGAAAGAAUUAUGAACUAGCUACCGCAGGGAUAACAGCACAAUUUAUUUUAGGAGACCUUAUCUUAAAAUAAGAUUAUGACCUCGAUGUUGAAUUAAAUUACCUUUAGGCGAAGAAGCUUAAAAGGAAAGUCUGUUCGACUUUUAAAAUUUU
RNAcentral lists this ribosomal RNA (428 nucleotides) under Conothele sp. MYG540. RNAcentral describes it as "partial 16S ribosomal RNA". It matches the Rfam family "Bacterial large subunit ribosomal RNA", at positions 1832 to 2597 of the family's 2925-position model. The record is from RNAcentral. Lineage: Eukaryota; Metazoa; Arthropoda; Arachnida; Araneae; Ctenizidae.